Molecule: ribosomal RNA, 385 nt
Filed under: Noctepuna cerea
Lineage: Eukaryota; Metazoa; Mollusca; Gastropoda; Stylommatophora; Camaenidae
Description: partial 16S ribosomal RNA
Source: RNAcentral
UGAGGUAUUUUCUGCUCAAUGAAAUUUAAAUAGCCGCAGUACUUUGACUGUGCAAAGGUAGCAUAAUCAGUUGACUUAUAAUUGAAGUCUAGUAUGAAUGGAUCAUAGGGGACAACUGUAUCUUACAUAGGAAAUAAACUUACUGAUGACGUGCAAAUACGUUUAAUAUAACAAUAGACGAGAAGACCCUAGAAAUUUGAAAUAGGUAUGUGUUUUUUGUKGGGGCAACAUAGGAACAAUUAAUUUCUUUUAUAAACAAGAAAUAUAUUUAUAGAWAGCGUAAAUUACUCUAGGGAUAACAGCGUAAUUUCUAAUAGUUYGCGACCUCGAUGUUGGAUUAGGAAUAUAUAACUUAGAAGAUUAAUAUUUUUGCUCUGUUCGAGCA